This 17469-nucleotide long non-coding RNA is filed under the name Vitis vinifera (wine grape). RNAcentral's name for it is "long non-coding RNA (VVIN_LNC000658)". Lineage: Eukaryota; Viridiplantae; Streptophyta; Magnoliopsida; Vitales; Vitaceae. The record is from RNAcentral.
CUUGGAUGUUCUUCAGCACUUGCUCCUCUGGUACGUAGAUCUUUUCAAGGGUUUUCCCAAUCUUUUUCUCCCACAAGGAGACAAGAUCAUUGAAUGAGUAAGUAUUCUGAGGGGGCCUGAUGUAGAGGAUUUUAUUCAAAGUUCUAGGAUCAUUCACAGCUUUGAUGGUAUAGGUGCCAAUGUCAUCCUCCUUGUUAAAAACAGCUGGAGAUGCAAAAACGAAACAGGUAAGAUAGGAGUUGAACCAUUUUCCUUUACCUUAGAAUCUUGGGACUGCUCAGGUCUCUUUGUCAUUAUAUAUAUAUAGAUCAAAAACUCACAGCUGGAAAGCCAACUCCAGAGAACUGUUGACUCAAUAAAGGAGGCUUAGCCCAUCCAAUUCAGUUAAAAACAGAAGGUCAAUAAUGAUUAAUAACUGGAAAUGCAUGAUGAUUCCUUCAGUUCAACAUCAUGUUAGUUGCCUGGGUUAUAGCUCAAUUGCACUGUUGCACCCAAGCAGCAUACCCAACUGCUGGAAGGCUUUGUUUCUGAGUGAACAGGUUUGGUCAGCUGGAGAAGGGGGGAGUGAGGAGGGAUUUUCCAGGUUUAGAAUGGCUACAUUCUGAUCUGAAGGAAUGUAGGCCAUUCUCACCUCAACAACUUUGGCAACCCUGGCUGGAGAAGAUAAUAUGCAGAUACCAGUUUAUGAAAUGGUAAAUUAACAGUCACAUGGAUUUCAUGGUCAUUGAAAUAACUUUUCAUUAGAAUUAUUGUUCACACCCAUUACCAUUGGAUGUUUCAGAGCAGAUGCACCAGUGUAUUUUAAUGUCAAAAGGACAAAAUGCAACAGGGAAGUUCAACUCUUUUAUCAUUUUCAGAAAGGUUGCUUACCCUUUGGAUUCCCAUCUCCUAGAAUAAUAACUUUAUCUCUUGGGGGAGUAGUGGCUCCAGGCUGUGACAAUGAAGGAAGGAAAUAGCCAGCAAAGAAGUUGGAGGAUACAUAGGUGUAGGGAAUUCCUUCAGCCUCAAUAGUGCGGCGGAUUUGAGCCUUAGUUGCAAAUGCUGUUUUUGCUGGCUCAACAGCAUGGACACGGUCCACAUCAUUUCCAAACUCUGAUGGGAAGAAUCUCUAGACAAAAUAAAGCACUUUGAGACAAUGUAUGAAAAACCAGUUAUAUCUAUUCAGUCAUGAUAGCUCACAGACACAGAUCAUAUAUGGGAUAAAUGUUAACAAGAUGAUACAAGUGUUCUACAAGGAUAAAGUUGUCAUGCAAUUAGUACUUGGAAUGGUGGAAGGAAAGAGUGCACUGAUCAGGAUACUUACAUGUAAAGAAAAAAAAUUAAAUGAAAGGGAAGAAAAGAACUACAAAACUUCAUUCUGUAUCAAAUCACUUCAACAUCAAUUUUCAUCUUUUAUUAUUUAAUUAUAAUCCCUAGGGAGUGAUUUCAAAACAUUUGGCAGGAUUUAAUCAGGCUAAAUAGAACAACCACCAUUAGAGAAUAAUGCUAUGUAUCGUUGAAAAAUUAUCCAUAUCCAAUGACAGGCUCAGCUGCAUAGUUAAGUAACAGAUAUGGAUCCAUCAUCUCAUAGGGUAAAUAUUAAGUUCUUAUGGUUCUCCAUUCAACAUAAAGUUCAACAGCACCCAUUCUAGAAGAAACAAUUUGGAGCUCCUGACCUCAUUGUGAAGUGACAUCCAGCCACAUCUCCAUUAUGAGAGAUCUAGACAUCUGAGUCUCAGGGUUCCUUUUGCAGCUUUACAAAAGUGGCGAAGGGACUAUCUUAUGGUAAAGGCUUAUUGUUAUACUAACCAAAAGAAGGAAAUAGCCAUACUUCAGUACUACUUGAAGAGCUAAUAACAUCUCUAAAAUUUGAGGUUUUUUGAUUCCUUUUCCUAUGCUCUUUGAAAAUAUAGGAUUUUUAUUGUAUGUAGAUGAAAUUGUCUUUUAUGGCUUUCAGCAAAUGAUUUCUAUAAGAGUAGCCUCGUCUGAGGGGUUUAAUCAUUUCUAAAAAAAUAAAUUAUUUCCCAAACCAAAUAUUUGAUUAUGAUAAUCAAAAUAUGGGUUAUAUUAUGGCCCUGAAAGCAGUACACAAUAAACCCCAUUUCAGCUGGGAAGAAUAGAUCAAUUGUAAUCAGGCUACAUCAAGAAUUAAAAGCAAUUUUCAAACAUCUAAUAGCUGAGAUUGAGUGGGUUAUGGUACCUUUUUCUUGGAAAAGAACACUCAACUCAAUCCAACCUCACUGAAAUACCAUAGAUCUAGCAAGAAAAGAAUGUUAAGGUCUUUCAUGCACUUUCAAAGACUCUUUUAACAUUUCUAAGGAAGGUGAUAUCAUAUCAUGCACAAAGGAUAAAGAUAUUUGCGACAAAUGAUUACAAAUGCCAAUAAUAAAUAAAUAUCACAGUACUAGGAUCUGCAAAGAAGGGAGAAAUGACAAGGAGAAGCUGAGAAAUUGCAUCAGUUCGGACGGUUAUACCUUAACAUUUCCAGCUUCUUUGAUGGCAGCAAUGAUCUUCACUUGAUCCGGCAACUGUGCGUGGCCAACCGUGGAGAUCACAACAUCUACUUGCUUGAUCGCCUUCACCAAACUCUCGUGAUCGUAUAGAUCUCCCUGAAACAUAACAUAACCAAUCAAUAAACUAUUUCAUAACCCUAAUUCUCCAAUUAAGAAGUAAGAAUCCAAAGAUAGGUGUAUUUUUCCAGUUCACUGAAACCAAACAACUUAAAACAAAAACAUCCGAACUUUUCUUUUCCUGAGGAUCGCCAAUUUUUUCUUUCUGGAUGAGUGAAGAAUUUCAGUUUUCGUUUUUUUAGGAACUUCAAGAUCCAAAAAAUUCUAGAACUCCAACAAAUUUCGUUAAUUUUCCCGGCGGCAAUAAGAAGCAAAAAUUGGAAAAGCAAGAAUGGCGAGAAAAGAGAGCGAAUAGAACGUACAUAAACCAAAGUCACGCCAGAGCUCUUGAAACUCUCAAUGAUUUCAAACUUCUCCGAAACUGUGGAUUCUCUGACGAGAGCGAAGGUAGGGUGACCGGACUUAGCGCUGGCAGCGACGAUAAACUUUCCGAUGUAGCCAGUGCCGCCGAUGAUGAGAAUCUUGCUCUUUUCGGACAUUGUUAACUUUUUUCGGGCGAAUCUCCGGCGAGAUAUGUGGAAUGAGAAGACUAAGAUGAAAGGUCGCGGGGAAGUGGAUGGGCUCCAAAGACCAAGGACGACGAUCUUAUAGGACUGAGGAAAUUAAGAUUGUGUAAUUACGGAACUAGCCUUGUGUUUGAGCCGUAACUUCCGUUUUGGCUAUAUUUUGUAUGCGGCUUCAUUUUUAUGUGAUUCACGAAUGUGUCCAAGUUCAUUUGUUUGACACUUGGUUGGAAUCAGUCAAAUUACAAAACUACCAAAUGUUUGGUUUGGAAAGCGAAAAAGUGUACAAUCCGUUAGUAGAGGGAAAAAAAAUGUGUUUUGAGUAUAAAAUUAAUUAUAAAAUAUUAAUUUUUUAAAAAUAAUUUAAGUUUCGUGCAUUCAUCGAUUAAAAAUAAUACUUAAAAUAGUUAAUAGUAAUACCUAUAUCAUUAAAAUAUAGUACUUAAAUUAUCAAAGAUAAUACCUUUUGAUAGCGAAAAAUCCUCCAUUGAUAAUAGGAAGAUAUCUUCUACUGAAAUCAAAAAUAAAUUUUUCAUCAAAAUCCCUAUUUUACAUUCAAAUGUAUAUUCCAUCUAUGCAUUUAUCUCUUCCUUUGCAUUUAUCGUUUCAAUAUUCUCUUAAUUUUGUUCCAUUUUUAUAGACUUACACAUAUAUUCUUUUAAAUAUCAGACCCGUUUUACCUUUAAUUAAAAAGUAUAUGAAAUAAUAAUUAUUUUUAGAUAAUUAUAUAAAAUUUAUAAUUAUAUAAAUUGAGUUUUGAAAAAGCAUGAGAGAGAAAGGAAAAAGAUAUUGGUUUAAUUAAGGCAUACAAGUCGGUCUUCUUGAAGGGUAGUUAGAUUCCCUACCUAAACUCAGUCUUCUUUUUUAUUGCUAUGAAACUUCUUGCCAAGUUCCAAGUUUUUAGUCAAUGGAUUUAUUAAAUUCUGGUAUGACUUGGUGGGGUGUGUAGUAAUUAGUCUACGGGAGAGUCAUUAUUAAUAUGAAGCAGGGAUUAUUAUAAUAUUUUACUACAUUUCCAAUAGCAAAUGCUACCUCGAAGAAGUUACACGUCACAGCGAGACGCUCGAGAACUUUCGCAGAUUCCAAGACUUGACUUUCAAGCGAGCCAAAAGCCUUGGAUAUCAGAUUCCAAUUGGAAUGGUUAAACCUUUUCAAAUGUUUUCCAUAUAAUUUUAUUGGUUAAAAAAUAAUUAUAAAAGGGUUAUUUGAUUAAAAGGACAUUAAAAAUCUAAUCCUUUAUUUUUUUUUUAAUUAUAUUUUGAUUAAAAUGCCUUAUUCUUUUCUUGUAAAAAUAAUUUUUUUAAAACCUAUAUAUAAAUAAUUAAAAUAAUUAAGAAUAUUUAUGUAAAAAAUAAUUAUUUAAAAAAAAACAAAAAAAAUGUUAAGUUCAUAAAUUUGAAAAUUAUUUCAUCAUUUUAACCAAUCAAUUCAUUAUAAAACACUAAAAUCUCUUUUAAAAACACGACUUCUCUUUUUAAAUUUAAAUACAUGCUUACCCAGUAAAAUGAUUACCUUUUUCCAAAGUUUUUACUAUAAUUUGAUCCGAUAAAAAAAAUGAUAAUUAUAAGAGGAUGUUUAAUAAAUCAACUUAAUGAGUUAAAGAGAUUUAAUAACUCAAUUUAAAUUAUUAAGUAGAUUAAACAUGUUCGAUAAAAUAACUUAAUCUCACCACUAAUAUUUAAAAAGAGCUUUAAGUAUUCGGUCAAAAUAAUUAAUUUAAUUUUAAUUUUAAUUUUAAUAUUUUUUGUCUUAUUUACCUACAUGAACACAUAUUUAACAAUCAUAAUAUUAUAGUAAUAUGCUAAAUAUUUAAAUAUUUUAAUUAUAUUAUAUACUAAUAUGCUAAAUAUUUAAAAGCGUUACUCGUAAUUAAUAAUAUUAUAUAUUACUAUUAUCAUUAUAAAUUUUAUUAUACAUACAUUUAUUAAGAAGAAUACAUUUAUGAUGUCAGCUAUACUUAAGGAUUGUUGUAUUUAAUAUACAAAAGUGUGGGAAGAUGCGAUCGGGGUAUUUAAUAUAUAUAUUACUUCAUUAUGACAUACAUAUAAAAUAAAUAAAAGGUGGAUUCCACUUAUUCUACCUACCAUUCAUGGACCAUAUAAGAUAUAUUAUUUUAUCUUUUUAUCUUAUAUUAUAUUAGAUUAUAUUUAACAAACUAAACAAGACAUAAAGGACAACCGUUGUAUCAAAUUUCAAACUUGAAUAGUUCAUGAACUAAGCAUCAUUGCCUUUUCUUGUCUCAAUAGAAUAAGCCUUUUAAUUGUUUUAUAUACAUUUAUUUCUUCAUCAAGCCUGUUUCUUUCAAGCUCCCUCUCUUGAGCUAGAAAUAUUAUAGUAGGAGCUAGGUGUUCCUUUCUGUAUAGCUCCAUCUCUAAUCAGGUAUCAGAGAAGAUAAAAAAUCUAAUUCCAGAAACUUCUACUUGGAUAAGAUUAGAAAGGCACAUUGUCCUACUACAGAAUAUGCCCAAUGGCAUAGACAAGGAAAUAACCCACUAUUUUCCACACAACAUAAAUUAAGACAGCCACACAUGUUUGCUUAUUUAGAUAGUGCAGCAUGAAAAUGAAAAAGUUGAAAACUACCAGGACCAGAGUCUAACCUCAUCCUAUUUGACAUCAGGAUAUAGCUCUGAAGCCUCCACUCCAAAUGAUGGCUCGAUCUCGAAGUUGGUCUGGUCACCCUUAACAAAAACAGAGUGAUCGAUCGAUAAUAUUGCGUUGAGUGGAGCUGAGGCUUCUGCAAGAAACAGUGGAAAACCCAUUAAUCUAAAGGUCUUAGCCAUCAUUAACAGAUCAACUAUAUAAACGGAUUUUGGAGCCAAAAUGGCCUCUAUGGCUGAAAAAUUAUCCUUUGUGGAGACCUUCUUAAACUUAUUAUCAAGGUAGACCUCUUCAUGUCAAGCAGGAGUCAUUAAAUUAAUUUUUUCCUUUUUAAACUUAAGUUGAAACCACGUUUUGAAAAGGGUUUUUGCAUGCAUGGGUCAAAAUAAUUAUCAAAUUGCAAAAAUGACCCCUCUCUUUAGUUUUAUUGAGAGAUGUUCCUCUUUAAACACUUUUACCCUUUCAGAAAGAUCAUCUCCCUACUUAUUUUAUUCAUUCUAUACAUUUCUCAAUUUCUCCAAUCUCAUUUAUCUUUUCAGUUCAUUUUUUUUUUUUUAUCUCUCUUCUUCCUAACUCUCUGAGUCUCUUGCAUUACCAUGACUUCAGUUUUAAGUGUGACCACCAACUUAAUUUUUUCAUUUUUCUGGCCUUAUCUUAAACUUGCUUUGUUUCUUUUUCAAUGGAUGACACUCUAGGAAAACUUGAUCUCAUUUCAUAAUGUCCCACCCAAUUUUCUUAUCUCUCAAACAACUCCUCAUUCUCAUUCUUGAUGUUCAACUGAAGUGUUAAGUUUUAUUUAUUACGAAUUUAACUAAGGUUAAAUUUUGAUUGAGAAUGAUAAGCUAAAUUACACAAGUGUUACGUUUGGUUGCAAAAAACUUAAUUAGAGUUAAAUUUUCAAUCAUAAUAGUAAUAUGAACCCCGCUAAGUUAAGUUUUAUUUACAAAAGACUUAUGUGGGGUUAGAUUUCUAUUUCAUUUACAAAGGACUUGAUUAUGGUAACCUGAACUAUACUCUGGUUAAGUUUCAUUUAAAAAUAACUUAAUUAGGGUUAAGUUUUUGUUUCACCUACAAAGAACUUGAAAAAGAUCAAGGUCUUGUUAAAAUGCUCAUUUUCACUUAACUACCGAAACAUAGGGCUCGAUAAAAAUAGAGUUGGAUAAGAGAUUUAGUAAAUAACAGCUUUCUAUUCAAUCUCAUCUUCGACGUUGUAGAAGUUCAAAUGAAAUUGCAAAAUAAUCCUAACAAAAAAAAUUAGAAAAAACCCUAACAAAAAACAAUGACAUAAAACCCAACUAAAAAGAAAGAGAAAGAUGAGAUUCGAUCUCAUCUUCGCCAUUAUAGAAGUUUACAUGAAACUCCUAACAAAAAACAACGACAAAAAACCUCAACAAAAAGCUUCAUCCAAAAACAACGAGAAAAAACGCUAACUAGAAACAAAGAGAGAGAUGGAGAUCUGACCUCAUCUUCUAUAUUGUAGAAGUUCAAAUGAAGCUGCAACCAAACAAAAAACAACUCCUAAAAUUUGAAAUGUAAAGGGCUCUAAUGUUUGUUCAGGGGUUUGGACUUCACUGGAAAAAGAGAUGGAACAUGAACUUAGAGAGAAGGAAGAACCUAGAGAGAAGGAGAAAGCUAGGUAUCAAAAAUAGAAGGAACAUUUUUGGAGGAAGUAAAGAAGAGUAAAAAUGUCCAAAAUUGGUCAUUUCUCUAAAGAAUGAAUAAGGGAAGUCAUUAUUUCGAUUUUAAAAGUAUUUUAGUCGACUUCAAUCGAGGUCUGGGGCAUGAUCAGCAGAUUUUACCAGCAGUCCAGGUAACAUUUUCUAACUCAAAACAAUUGAAUCAAAAACCAAUUUCAUUUAAACAAUCUAGCAUAAAGGGAAUGUCAUAUUCACAAUCUCUGUUCCAAUUUAAAUUCACUAGGAAAACCAAAGCUUGAACACUUCCAAAAAGGAAAAUGUUUCUCACUAACCUUGGAUGUUCUUCAGUCACUCUGGAACACAUGUUUCUUUAUUUAAUGGUGCAGCAUGAGAAUGAAAACUACCAGAACCAGGAAGUACCUCUCACACAAACUGGUUGAGGUACUCAUCCACAGUUGUGUAUUUGACAUCAGGAUAUAGCUCUGAAGCCUCCACUCCAAAUGAUGGCUUGAUCUCAAAGUUGGUGUGGUCUCCCUUAACGAAAACAGAGUGACAGAAUGCUAACAUCACAUUGAGUGGAACAGAGGCUUCUGCAAGAAACAGAGGAAAACCAUCAAUCUGAAGACAUUUACCAUCAUUAAAACAUCAACUAUAUGAACAGAGUUUAGGGCCAAAAAAUGGCCUCUGUGGUAAAAAAAUUAUCCUAUGUAGGAACCUUCCCUAACUUACCAUCAAACUAGAACUCUUGAUGCCACCUAGGCACAAUUUUUUAUUUUUUCCCUUUUUUAGUCAUAGGUUGAAACUGCAUUUUGAAAAUGCGGUUUCUGAUUUUAUGUGAAGCCACAUUUUGAACAAUGGCUUGAAACAUGAUCCAAACUCAAUAUCAUUUGACCAAAACAGGCCUUUUUUACCCAAAGUUCAUAUAAACACGUGAUACUUCCAAGUUCAACCAACUCCUCUUUCUUUCUUCUUUUUAUUCCCUUCUUUUUUCAAAUCCAAUGAGCAAUAGUGAAUUGUUAGUCUGUCAUAUGAAUCUCUUAGGAAGACCUUAAUCACGGUCUGGGGCAUGAUCACCAGAUUUUACCAGUAGGCCAGCUAACAUUUUCUAAGAAAAAAGAAUUGAAUCAAGAACCAAUUACAUUUUAACAAUGCAGCAUAAUGGGAAUGCUCUAUUCCCAAUCUCUGUUCCAAUUUAAAUUACUAGGAAAACCAAAGUUUGAACAGUUUCAAAAAAUGAAAAUGUUUCUCACUAACCUUGGAUGUUCUUCAGAACUUGCUCCUCUGGAACAUAUAUCUUCUCAAGGGUUUUUCCAAUCUUCUUUUCCCAUAAGGAGACAAUUUCGUUGAAUGAGUAGGUGUUCUGAGGAGGCCUGAUGUAAAGGAUUUUGUUCAAGGUUCUAGGAUCAUCCGCAGCUUUAAUGGUAUAGGUGCCAAUGUCAUCCUCCUUGUUAAAAACAGCUGGAGAUGCAAAAAUGAAAUGAGUAAAAUAGAGUAGAAUCAUCUUCCUAUUCCUUCAAGCUUGGACUACUCCGUAAUUCCACUUUUUUUGUUUACAGAACACAAACUUGAAAUUAUUUUGAUAUGAAACCAAGUUAUUGUUUUCAUUUAAUGCUCAUGUCAAAAACUCUCAGCUGGAGAGCAACCCAAGAGGACUGUCAAUAUAAAAAAAGAGGCUUUAGCCCAUCCAGUUCAGAUAAUAAUGAUUAAUUACUAGAAGUGCACAAUGGUUCCUCAGUUUGACCACUCCAGGUCACAUGGAUCAUGCUAGUUUCCUGUAUUAUGGCUCAAUUGCAAUGUAGCACCCAAGCAGUCAACCUCAACUGUCGGAAGGUUUUGUUUCUGGGUGAACGGGUUUAACCAGCUGGGGAAAGGGGGAGUGGGGUGGGGUUGUCCAGGUUUCAAAUAGCCACAUUCUGAUUUUCAGGAAUAUAGACCAUUCUCACCUCAACAACGCUGGCAACCCCAUCAAUUUUUUUGCCUGGAGAAGGAUAAUAUGCAGCUAUUGGUUGGUGAAAUGGUAAAUUACACUCUCAAAAGGAUUCCAUGCUCAUCUACAUAACCCGCUGAUUAGUAUUACUUUUUAAGCCCACUAUCAUCAGAUGUCACUGAUACAUGGACCGGUGCAUUCUAACAUCAAAACGAGAAAAUGCAAUGGGAAAUUAAGUUGUAUGAUUUUCAGAGGUUGCUUACCUUUUGGAUUCCCAUCUCCUAAAAUAAUAACUUUAUCCCUGGGGGGAGCGGUGGCUCCAGGCUGUGAAAAUGUAGGAAGGAAAAAGCCAGCAAAUGUGUUGGAGGACACAUAGGUGUAGGGAAUUCCUUCAGCCUCAAUAGUGCGGCGGAUUUGAGCCUUUAUCUCAAAGGCUGUUUUUGCUGGCUCAACCGCAUGUACACGGUCCACAUCAUUUCCAAACUCUGAUGGGAAGAAUCUCUGGAUGAAAUAAAGCACUUUAAGAAGAAGCUGUAUAACUCAAUAGAUUGAAAAACGGGUCAUAUCUAUUUAGUCAUAUUAGCUCACGACAGGGAUCCUAUAUGGGAUACACUUUGACGAACUUGAUACAAGUGUUCAGCAACCAUAAAGACAUACAAUUAGCAAUUCAAACGAUGGAAGGAAAGAGUGCACUGAUCAGGAUUCUUAAAAAGUGAAAGAAAAAACCAUGUAAGAAAUGUGAAAAAAAAAACUACCAAACUUCAUUCAUAGAAGGAAAAUGCGCACUAAUCAGGAUGCUUAGAAGAUGGAAGAAUAAAAACUAAAUGAAAACAGGAGAAAAAAAAAAAAAAAAACUUCAUUCUUGUUUAGUUGUCUUGCUGCUUUUUGAAGCCUUUUGUAUACCAUUUGUCUACAUUGGGUGUGCUGUCUUUUUUUGUUAGGCGCUUCUCUGUUAAUAUAGUUUGUUUUUAGCCUAUCAAAAAAAGGGGGGGGGGGGGGUGGUGGUUGUGGGUGUAUACAAUGGAUUGGAAGUGGUAUAGCAUGCCCCAUGAAAGGGAAUUAGUAUUUAAAAUUUUUUCCUUUUUACAUCAAAAAUUAAGAUUGACUUUAAAGCAUCGAUCCAACCUGAGUCAAUGCACAUGGAUCUAGACAAGAAUCAAGAUUGUUGAUCCUCAAUGAAUAUUGUAUAUAUGGAAUGUUCUUUCAUGCACUUCCAACAUUUCUAAAGAAGGUAUUAUUACAUUAUGCACAAAGGAUAAAGAUAUCACCAACAAAUUAUAACAAAUUCCAAUAAUAAAUAUCAUAGUACUCGGAUUUGCAAAGAAAAGAGGGAAUUAGAAAGAAGAAAAGGAGAAAAGGAGAGAAAUUUCGUCAAUUUGGACAACUUUACCUUGACAUUUCCAGCUUCUUUGAUGGCAGCAAUGAUCUUGACUUGAUCCGACAACUGUGCGCGACCAACGGUCGAGAUGACCACAUCCACUAGAUUAAUCGCCUUCACCAAACUCUCGUGAUCGUAUAGAUCACCCUGCAACAUAACAUAACCAAUCAAUAAACUAUUUCAUAACCCUAAUUCCCCAGUUAAGAAGUAAGAAUCCAAAAGCAGGUGUGUUUUUUCACUUUACUGAAACCAAAAUAACUUAAAACAUAAACAUCCGAACUUUUCUUUUCCUGAGGAUCGCCACUUUUUUCUUUCUGGAUGAAUGAAGAAUUCCAGUUUUCGUUUUUUUAGGAACUUAAACAUCCAAAAAUUCAAGAACUCCAAUUAAUUUCAUUCAUUUUCUCGGCGGCCAAAAGAAGCAAAAAUUAGAAAACCAAGAAUAGCGAGAAAUGAGAGCGAAUAUUACGUACAUACACCAAAGUCACGCCGGAGCUCUUGAAAAUCUCAAUGAUUUCCGACUUGGAAGGAUUCGAAACGGCGGAUUCUCUGACGAGAGCGAAGGUAGGGUGACCGGACUUAGCGCUGGCAGCGACGAUGAAUUUUCCGAUGUAGCCAGUGCCGCCGAUUAUGAGAAUCUUGCUCUUUUCGGACAUUGUGAGCUUUUCCGGCGAAUCUCCCGCGAGAAAUGUGGAAUUGAGAGGACUAAGCGAAAGGUGACUGGAGAGUUGGUGGGCACCAACGGCCAAAGACAAUGCUCUUGUAGGACAGAGCUCGAGGAUAUUAGGAUUAUGUAAUUACGGAACUAGCCUUGUGUUUUGGUGGUAAUCUCCGUUUUGGUUAUAUUUUGAAUGUGGCUUGAUUUUUAUGUGAUUCAUGAAUGUGUCAAAGUUCGCUUGUUUGAAAAUUGGUUUAGAUUGGAAAGUGAAAAAGUGUAUAUCACAUGAGAGAUUUAUAAAUAGAAAAAAAUGUAUUUUCACACACUAAUGUAAAAAUAAUUACAAAAUAAAAACUCUUUAAAUAAUUAUAAAAUAAAAACCCUUUAAAAAUAAUUUAAAUUUUAUGCACUCAUCGAGUACAUGAAAUGAUAAUUUAAUAUAGUUAUGUGUAACGACCCGCUCUCCCAAUAAUGACUCCCCUAGCUUUAAAAAAACGUCUUUAGGAUUAAGAUUGAUACUAUUUAUAAUAACUCGUAAAACCUAAAAAGGUCAUCACGACUUUAAAAUGCGUUUGCAAGAUUAAAAAAAAAUAAAAAAAAUUAUACUUAGAUAGUGUUAGGAACUUUCUCCCCUAUCUGAUGUGUGAUGUUACAAAUAUCCCCCAUGCAGACACAACAUCCUUGUUGUAUCUCAUGGAAUUGUGGAAUUAGAAUGAUAAUUUAAUGUAAUUAUGUGUAACGAUCCACCCUAUUUGAUGUGGGAUGUCACAAAUAUCCUCAUGCAGACACAACGUCUUUGUUGUAUCUCAUGGAAUUGUGGAGUUAAAAUGAUAAUUUAAUGUAGUUAUGUGUAAUGACUCGUUGUCCCAAUCAUGUAGAUAUUAUUCGUUUUGGACCCAAAAAAUGACUUUCCUGACUUUAAAAAAACGUCUAUGUGAUUAAGAUUGAUAUCGUUUAUAAUAACUCGCAGAACCUAAAAAGGUCCCCACGACUUUAAAAUGUGUUUACAAGAUUUUUAAAAAAAAUUAUACUUAUAUAGUGUUAGGAACUUUCUCUCCAUAUGAUGUGAGAUGUCACAAACAUCCCUAUGCAGACACAACGUCCUUAUUAUAUCUCAUGGAAUUAUGGAGUCAAAUAGACAAACACUCCCUAUGAGGCAAACAAACUCCCACACCGAAAUCAGAGAUCAAUUCCGAUAUUAUUUGUAACGAUCUACUCUCAAUUAUAUAAAUAUUGUCCAUUUUAAUCCGAAAGGGCAUUACAGUUUUAAAACGUGUGUACAGGAUUAAGAAAAGCCUUUACAUAUACAGUGUCAUGAUUUUUUUUUUCCUAUCGGAUGUGAGAUGUCAUAUUAUGAAUCCGUCAUUCUGUCUUUAUUCAUUUGUUGCAUUUAAGAUAUUUGAAAAAUUGAGCGAUUUUAUAAAAUGAGUUUUGAAAAGGCAUGAGAGAAGGAAAAAGAUACUAGUUUAAUUAAGGCUUACAACCCGGUCUUCUUAAAGGGUGGUUAAAUUCCCUGCCUAUUAAAUUUCUUAUCAGGUCGUUAGUCAAUGGAUCUAUUAAAUUCUAGUAUGACUUUGUAGAGUAGUAAUUACUCCAUGGGUGAGUAAUUAUUAAUAUGUAGCUGGGAUCAUUAGUAUAUUUUACUACAUUUCCAAUAGAAAAUGCUACCUCAAAUAAGUUACAUGUCUCCGCGAGACACUCAAGAAUUUCAGCAUAUUCCAAGACUUGACUUCCAAGUUAGCCAAAAGACAUGGAUAUGAGAUUUCAAUUGAAAUGAUUAAACCUUUUUAGAAUGUUUUCACUAUAAUUUCAUCGGCACAAAAAAAUAAUUAUAAAACACUAAAAUCUCUUUUAAAAACAUGUCUUUUAUUUUUAAAUUUAAACACUUACUCAUCAUUUUUAUUAGGAAUGAUAAUGAGACAAGUUUUUUUAGAUAUUUGUCUGCCUUGUUCUUAAUGAAAUGGGUUUAAAAUUUAAAUAAACGAAAUUAGAAUGAAUUUGGGAUUUUUUUAAAAACUUGGUACUAGCUAUUGUCUUUUCUCAUCCUAUCUAAAUUAUAUAUAAAAUUAAUUUAGUUUUAUUUUUAUUUCCCUAUUUGAUAUAUAUAUAUAAUUAUUUAUAAAAUACAUUUAUUUUAAUGUAAUUAAAUUUAAAAAAAUCAAAAUAAAUAAAUAAAUAAGACGAGAUGGGCAUGAAAAAUUCACAUACCUACCUUAUUUAAUUUUUUAAAUAAGAUAGAAAUGAGAAUUAUUUUGAAUAAACAAGAUAAGGUUGAAAUGAGAUCAACUCGUCUUAAACUAGUCUCGUUGCUAUCUCUAUUUUUUAUACUUUUUUAGUUGAAAGGGAUAAAUGAAUUAAAGUUAAGGAUUAAGAUUAAAUAUUCUACUUUACAAAAAAAAAAAUGAGACUAUUAAAUAUUAUUAGAAUUUUAUCAACUAGUCAUAAGAGUUUAAAAAAGAAAAUAUUGAUGAACAAUUCGUAGGAGGAAAUGAAUUGAGAAUAAAUUGACCUAGUGAACCUUCAGUUGCAUUGCCUCCUACUAUGUUCCACUUAUUCAGAAACGAAAGAGAAAGGAUGAGGGAUCUAUAACUAUAAGUUAAAAGGACAAAGGAUCAGGACAAAUAGAGGAUAUAUAUUAUGAGAUAUUAUUUCUAAUAGAAUAUGAUAUUUUAAAAUAUUGCAUUUAAUAUCAUUUAGAAAUUCUUCUCUUAUUUUUAUUUUAAUAAAUAAUUUUUAGUAUUUUAGUAAUAAUGUUUAUGAUUAUAAAUAAUAUAUAUAUAUAUAAAAUUAUAUUAUAUACUAAUAUGCUAAAUAUUUAAAAGCAUUACUAGUAAUUAAAUGAUACUAUAUAUUAAUAUGAUCAUUAUAAAUUUUAUUAUACAUAUAUUUUUUAAUUCUUUUAUUAAGAAGAAUAAAUUUAUAAUGUCAGUUAUACCUUAGGAUUGUUGUAUUUAACAUAUAGAGAUACAAAAGCGAGGAAAAAUGCAAAAGAAACUAUGAUUGAGUUAUUCUAUCAUUUACCGACCAAACAUGAUACAAAAUAUAUUAUCUCAUCUUUUAUCUUAUAUUAUAUUAUAUUCAACAAACUAAACAUAACAUAAUAGACCGACAUUCUAUCAAAUUUCUCGUAUUGUGAUUUUAAAACUUGAAUAGUUCAUGAACUAAACAUUAUUGCCUUUUCUUGUCUCAAUGGAAUAAGCGUUUUAAUUGUUCUAUAUGCAUUUCUUCAUCAAGCUCCCUCUUUUGAGCUAGAAAUAUUAUAUUAGGAGCUAGGUACUCCUUUUUGUAUAGCUCCAUCUCUAAUAAGGUACCAAAGAAGAUAAACUACAAAGGCAAAGAAAAUCUAAUUCCAGAAACUUCUACUUGCAUAAGAUUAGAAAGGCACAUUGUCCUAUUACAGAAUAUGCCCAAUGGCAUAGACAAGGAAAUAACCCACUAUUUUCCACACAACAUAUAUUAAGACAGCUGCACAUGUUUGCUUGUUUAGAUAGUGCAGCAUGACAGUGAAAACUACCAGGACCGAAGUCUACCUCUCAAACAAGCUGGUUGAGCAACUCAUCCACAGUUGUGUAUUUGACAUCGGGAUAUAGCUCUGAAGCCUCCACCCCAAAUGAUGGCUCGAUCUCAAAGUUGGUUUGGUCUCCCUUAAUGAAAACAGAGUGAUCGAUUGAUAAUAUUGCAUUGAGUGGAGCAGAGGCUUCUGCAAGAAACAGAGGAAAACCCAUCAAUAUGAAGAUUUUAGCCAUCAGAUCAACUAUAUAAACAGAUUUUGGGGCGAAAAUAGCCUCUAUAACUGAAAAAUUAUCAUAUGUGGAUACCUUCUUUAACUUAUUAUCAAGCUAGGCCUCUUCAUGUCACCUUGGAGUCAUUUAAUUUAAUUUUUUCCUUUUUAAAUGUAAGUUGAAAAUGCAUUUUGAAAAGAGUGUUUGGACACACGAGUCAAAAUAAUUAUCAAAUUGUAAAAAUAACCCUUUUUUCAAUUUUGUUGAGAGAUCCCAGCAGUCAAAAUAAUCAUAUAAUCAAACCCAGUCUUUUUCUUCCCAACCUUUUUUUUUUUGGCCUUAUCUUAAACUUGCUCUAUUUCUUUUUCAUUUAAGACACUCCAGAAAAACUCAAUCUCAUUUCAUAAUGUCCCACUGAAUUUUCUUAUCUCUCAAACAACUUCUCAUUCUCAUUCGUGAUGUUCACCUAAAGUGUUCUAUGAUUAAAUUUUAUUUAUUACGAAUUUAACUAAGGUGAAAUUUUCAUUAAGAUUGGUUAGCUGAAUUGCACUAGUGUUAUGUUUGGUUGUAAAAAACUUAGUUAGAGUUAAAUUUUCAAUCAUAAUAGUAAUAUGAACUCCACUAUGGUUAAGUUUUAUUUACAAAAAACUUAAGUGGGGUUAGAUUUCUAUUUCAUCUACAAAGAACCUGAUUAUGGUAACUUGAACAAUCCUCUGGUUAAGUUUCAUUUAGAAAGAACUUGAUCAGGGUUAAGUUUCCAUUUCACCUAUAAAGAACUUAAGUAAGAUCAAGGUCUUAAUUAAAAUGUUCAUUUGCAUUGAACUACCAAAACAUCGGACUUAGUAAAAACAAAGUUAGAUGAGAGAUCUAGUAAAUGAUAAGUUUCUAUCUGAUCUCGUCGUCAACAUUGUAGAAGUUCAAAUGAAAUUGCAAAAUAACCCUAAUAAAAAAAAAAUUAGAAAAAACCUCUAACCAAAAACAAUGACAAAAAACAAAACUAAAAACAAAGAGAAAGACGAGAUUCGAUCUCAUUUUCGUCACUAUAGAAACUUACAUGAAACUACAAAAAACCUUAGCAAAAAACAACGACGAAAAACAAAGAGAGAUGGAGAUCUGACCUCAUCUUCUAUAUUGUAGAAGUUCAAAUGAAGUUGCAAAACCCCUAACAAAAAACAACUCCUAAAAUUUGAAAUAGAUAAGGCUCUAAUCUUUGUUCAAGGGUUUGAACUUCACCAGAAAAAGAGAUAGAACAUGAACUUAGAGAGAAGGAGAAGGCUAGGUAUAAAAAAAUGGAAGGGGCAUUUUUGGAGGAAAGAAAGAAGAGUAAAAAUGUCCAAAAUUGGUCAUUUCUCAAAGGGAAGUCAUUAUUUCGAUUUUAAAAGCAUUUUAGUCGACUUCAAUCGAGGUCCGGGGCAUGAUCACCAGAUUUUACCAGCAGGUCAGCUAACAUUUUCUAAGUUAAAAACAAUUUAACCAAGAACCAAUUUCAUUUUAACAAUCUAGCAUAAAGAGAAUGUUCUAUUCACAAUCUCUGUUCCAAUUUAAAUUCACUAGGAAAACCAAAACUUGAACACUUCCAAAAAGGAAAAUGUUUCUCACUAACCUUGGAUGUUCUUCAGAACUUGCUCCUCUGGAACGUAUAUCUUCUCAAGGGUUUUUCCAAUCUUCUUCUCCCACAAGGAGACAAUUUCGUUGUAUGAGUAGGUGUUCUGAGGAGGCCUGACGUAAAGGUUUUUGUUCAAGGUUCUAGGAUCAUCCACAGCUUUAAUAGUAUAGGUGCCAAUGUCAUCCUCCUUGUUAAAAACAGCUGGAGAUGCAAAAGUGAAAAUGAGUAAGAUAGAAUAGAAUCACCUUCUUAUUCCUUCAAGCUUAGACUACUCUGUAAUUCCACCUUUUUUCUUUUACAAAACACAAACUUAAAAUUAUUUUCAUAUGAAACCAAGUUAUUGUUUUCAUUUAAUGCUUAUUUUUUCAAAAACUCUCAGUUGGAAAGCAAACCCCAGAGAACUGUUGAUAAAAAAAAGAGGCUUUAGCCCAUCCUGUUCAGUUUAAAACCCAAUAAUAAUUAUUAGUUACUGGAAAUGCAUAAUGGUUCCUUCAGUUCAACCCCUCCAGGUCACCUGGAUCAUGCUAGUUUCCUGGAUUAUGGCUCAACUGCAGUGUCACACCCAAGCAGUUGACCCCAGCUGUCCGGUUUUCAAAUAGCCACAUUUUGGUUUUCAGGAAUACAGACCAUUCUCACCUCAACAACACUGGCAACCCCAUCAAAUUUUCUGCUUGGAGAAGAUAAUAUGCAGCUAGUGGUUGAUGAAUGCACAUUCAAAUAACCCAUUGAUUAGUAUUACCUUUUAAGCCCACUAUCAUCAGAUGUCAUUGAUCAUGGGAGCGAGUGCAUUCUAAGGUCAAAAGAAGAAAAUGAAACAGAAUUUCAGUUGUUUUA